RNAcentral lists this ribosomal RNA (582 nucleotides) under Corynebacterium bovis. RNAcentral describes it as "bacterial SSU rRNA". It matches the Rfam family "Bacterial small subunit ribosomal RNA", at positions 36 to 631 of the family's 1533-position model. The record is from RNAcentral. Lineage: Bacteria; Bacillati; Actinomycetota; Actinomycetes; Mycobacteriales; Corynebacteriaceae.
CCGGGCGGCGUGCCUAACACAUGCAAGUCGAUCGGAAAGGCCCCAGCUUGCUGGGGUACUCGAGUGGCGAACGGGUGAGUAACACGUGGGUGAUCUGCCCUGCACUCUGGGAUAAGCCUGGGAAACUGGGUCUAAUACCGGAUAGGACCGUGCUUUAGUGUGUGCGGUGGAAAGUUUUUCGGUGCAGGAUGAGCCCGCGGCCUAUCAGCUUGUUGGUGGGGUAAUGGCCUACCAAGGCGGCGACGGGUAGCCGGCCUGAGAGGGUGUACGGCCACAUUGGGACUGAGACACCGCCCAGACUCCUACGGGAGGCAGCAGUGGGGAAUAUUGCACAAUGGGCGCAAGCCUGAUGCAGCGACGCCGCGUGGGGGAUGACGGCCUUCGGGUUGUAAACCCCUUUCGGCAGGGACGAAGCUUUUGUGACGGUACCUGCAUAAGAAGCACCGGCUAACUACGUGCCAGCUGCCGCGGUAAUACGUAGGGUGCGAGCGUUGUCCGGAAUUACUGGGCGUAAAGAGCUCGUAGGUGGUUUGUCGCGUCGUCUGUGAAAUGCCGGGGCUUAACUCCGGGCGUGCAGGCGAU